UACGAAGGGGGCUAGCGUUGUUCGGAUUUACUGGGCGUAAAGGGCGCGUAGGCGGGCGAAUAAGUCAGGGGUGAAAUCCCAAGGCUCAACCUUGGAACUGCCUUUGAUACUGUUUGUCUUGAGUUCGAGAGAGGUAAGUGGAACUGCGAGUGUAGAGGUGAAAUUCGUAGAUAUUCGCAAGAACACCAGUGGCGAAGGCGGCUUACUGGCUCGAAACUGACGCUGAGGCGCGAAAGCGUGGGGAGCAAACAGG
This 253-nucleotide ribosomal RNA is filed under the name uncultured bacterium. Its description in RNAcentral is "partial 16S ribosomal RNA". It matches the Rfam family "Bacterial small subunit ribosomal RNA", at positions 524 to 776 of the family's 1533-position model. The record is from RNAcentral.